CAGUUUAAUAUUUGUUAGAGCUUAUGAGACGCCGUUCAAGUCGGACCAUUGAGGCGAAAGGUUCUUGUGAUUUGAAUCGAAUAUAAACUAGUCGAGGCGAAAGUAUAUGUGCUGUAUGCACAAAUGCAUAUAAACUAGUAGAAUCUAUAUAUACAUGAUUUGAUAUGUUAGUGAGGAUUCGAGUCACAAAUGCACAAAUGCAAAACAAUGGCAUUUAAGCUAGUUGGUUAGUGAGGAUUCGAGUCAUUAAGGCGCCAUCUGUCUUUAUUUGAAAUCUGAAUUCAUUGAAUGAUGAAUGAGGUUGUAGUGUGAGAGAAAUUGAGAAAGUAAAGAAAAGAUGGAAGAUGAAGCUACAAUUAUGUGACAAACAAUAAUGAUGGAUCAAUUCAUCUAUGUUGGUUUAUUAAACUUGGUAAUGGAAUUGCAAAUCAAGUAUAUCUUAGGUUCUUAGUUGCAUACCCACCUUCCCACAACUAUUAUAUUGUCUCUUGAUUGGAUGAAUUUUUAUAAUUUUCUAGAUCUAUGGUUACAAUGCUUUUUAUAAUUUCCUAGAUUUAUCAUUUUAGUUCCUUCAUGAUUUGUUGAUUUUUUUUAAGGUUAAAUGUGUUUUAUUCGAGUAGUUAAGGUUGAUGCAUUCAAAUUCCGUAGCAACGGGCGGACAUUUUUGUCUAGUUUAAAACAAAUAAUAAAUCCUAAGUGUAUAGAUUUCAUCCAACUUUAUGCAUGCACUACAAGUCAACAAAUAGUGUAUUGUCUAAACUAAUAAUUCCAAGGAUCAAGACUUUAAAUUACUAAGUCAUGAAGUCAAUACAAGUGGGAAUACAUUACCACUUGAAUUGUGGAAACUUAUAAGCCCUGUAUAAUUGAGGGUUUUUAUAACAAAUAGUCAUUGAAAUUGACCUAUUCCAUCAAGAUAGUUAUUGAAAUUGAAAUUCAAUUGAUGUAGUCUCUGAAAAUAGUUAUCGCAAAUUAAUAUGGUAUUUUCAUCACUAUUCCUUUAAACAUUUUGUUAUUUGUUGAUGUAGCACAUAACGAGGUCUUACAAAUCCAAUUAAAUAUUGCCAUAUAGAUUAAAAUAUUUAAAUAAAAAAAUUAUUUUCAUAUAAUUAAAAACUU
This is a long non-coding RNA of Pyrus x bretschneideri (Chinese white pear), 1116 nucleotides long. RefSeq lists it as uncharacterized. The transcript is spliced from 2 exons. The record is from RefSeq and is a predicted model, not a curated record. NCBI's taxonomy places the organism in Eukaryota, Viridiplantae, Streptophyta, Magnoliopsida, Rosales, Rosaceae.